Molecule: non-coding RNA, 2389 nt
Organism: Podarcis lilfordi (Lilford's wall lizard)
Lineage: Eukaryota; Metazoa; Chordata; Lepidosauria; Squamata; Lacertidae
Source: the annotation of a GenBank genome assembly
CUCUGUUUAGACUUCCUUCCUAAAGAACUUUCCUAUACAGGAUUGCCUUCAGAGGGCCCGUGGGUUGGAUAACUCCAUUCCCUCCAGCAUUUCUUCAAUGAAAAUAGGGAGACCCUAAGGAAAAGCGAGACAUUCUGGGAUCAAAUCAGAAACCAGGACGGCUUCUCUAAAUCAGGGACAUCCCUGGAAAAUAGUGGCACUUGGAGGGUUUGUCUUUCCCUGCUUUUUCAUUCGCUGCCUCUGGUCUCCUGCAUCCAUUUAGCAGAGGAGGGGAGCGGUUUUGGCCUUCAUACUUCUCCACCCCCCACCCCCAAUAUAACCAAAAGCACAAUAUAACCAAAAACACACACACCAUUUGGGAGUGAGGACCAAAAAAAAAUUAAAAUAAUCGUUUUAUUAUUUUAUUACUUAUUUUUUGCAGUUCAAUCUACUGUAUCUAUAAAUUUUAUUGUUUAUAGCCAAUGGCCACCACUAUACAAGCACAAAUCACACAGCUGCAAAACAAAAGACAUUGCAUGCACCAGACCAGGAUAAAUCUAUAGCGUCCAAAAUUUAUUUCCACGGUUGUUUCAAUGGGAAGGAUAUAGGGCAGCAGAGUCCAGGUGGUGAGGUCCAGAUUACAGCUUCCAUCAUCCUUGACUGUCUGCCCUGCUGGCUGAAGCUGAUGGGAACUGGACAACAACAUCUGGGGACACCUCAAUGGCUAUGCUCUGAUAUACAGAAUCUACAAAAGAUUAAGGCACUGAUCCAGAAGACAAUGAACUGCGAAUAGCAAGUGUAGCUAGGAGGAGAAUGCAUUGGCAGCAGGGUUUGGAAGCUGUUCCCUGACACAAAUCCCCUUAUUUCCUCCUCUGGAGAUCUGAGGUCUACAAAGCAAUGGGUUGUUUUAUUCAGAAUAAGCUCACUGACAUCAUAAUCAUCUCCUCUAUGGGUGCCGCUAAGUGCCCUCUGUCUUUGAGCUUUUUGCUCUCCUAGUUUUAAGGCUCGCUGGUUUCUCUAAGUCUGGGGAAAGUGCUAAGGAUGGUGGUUUAAUUUCCAUAAAUGAGAAUGUUUUAAGAUGGAGUUUCCUUUGACAGUAGUCCUCAUUUGUGUUAGUCACAUGAGGGAGGCAUUCCAUUCUGUUGAGACUGUUAUUCCAGUAACUGUUGUUUUUAACUGCUUUUCUGUUCUUUUCUCUCUCUGUGCAUGAGGGAGAAGUGCUGCUGAGAGAGAUGUCUCAGGAUACUAUUGUGUGUCAGUGUGAUCUGUCUGAAGUGAAACAGUGGAAGAUCACUAAAUGCUGAUCAAAAUUACUGCUCAAAAGUUCAAAAACAGAAUUACUGCUGAGGUGAAAGUAAAAACCUUUUGUAAGAAACUGUAAGACAAUUCAAGUGAGAACAUGCCCGUGUUUGAAUAAGCAUGAGAUUGUAAAUAUAUUUUUCUCAGUUAUAUGUUUAUGAAAGUAAGGUUCUUUUGAAUACCAAGAGUCUGGACAUUGUAGUCUGUAAAAAGGAACUAUCACCUAGAACAGCUAUUUUGCUUCUUAGCUAUAAGCUACUCUGUUACUUUGGAGAUCAUCAAAAUUCACACACAGACAGACUAUAAUGUUGCAUACAGUAUAAGGUUGGGGAGUUGAGAAGUGGGGAUAGAGGGGGGGAGGGGGAAGUAAACUUUCAUUAUUUUACAGAGUGCAUAUCCAAACUUUUUUUGUCGGUGACACAUGCAUAGGUUCUUCUUCUAUUCAUUCAUUUUCAUUGGCAGUGAGAAAGAUCGGGCCCCCAGGGCAUAGUUGGUUGCCUUCAGUUGACUGCAGUGAAGGGAGAACCAAUUGGAGGAACAGAUUGUUGCAAUUCUUGGAAAGGGAUGGAAAAGAGCACGGCUACAUCGCGGUUUGGUCUUUCAAGUACUUGUUGUUAAAUACAGUGGUACCUCUGGUUACGUACUUAAUUUGUUCCAGAGGUCCGUUCUUAACCUGAAACUGUUCUUAACCUGAAGCACCACUUUGGCUAAUGGGGCCUCCCGCUGCUACUGUGCCGCCGCCACAUGAUUUCUGUUCUCAUCCUGAAGCAAAGUUCUUAACCCGAGGUACUAUUUCUGGGUUAGCGGAGUCUGUAAUCUGAAGCGUAUGUACCACUGUACUCUGUGAGUUGAGUGAGGCUGAGAGACUCCAGAGAAGUGUGACUAGCCCAAGGUCACCCAGCAGCUGCAUGUGGAGGAGCAGAGACGCGAACCUGGUUCACCACAUUACAAGACUACCACUCUUAACCACUACACCACACUGGCUGGAAAAAGGGGAAGUUCUUUUCUUUGCAUUAAGUUGUGAAAAAUAAAGCAAUAAAUUUUAAAGACAACCCUUCUUUCAAUGCUUUCUUUUUAAAGCAAAAAAAGAUGUAGUGCCAUAGUUUGAACA